Molecule: ribosomal RNA, 341 nt
Filed under: uncultured bacterium
Lineage: Bacteria
Description: bacterial SSU rRNA
Rfam family: Bacterial small subunit ribosomal RNA
Source: RNAcentral
GACGAACGCUGGCGGCGUGCUUAACACAUGCAAGUGGAGCGACGAACCGGGGCUUGCCCCGGGGCAGAGCCGCGAACGGGUGAGUAACACGUGGGUAACCUGCCUCAAUGAUUGGGACAACCCGGGGAAACUCGGGCUAAUACCAAAUGUGUUCACUCCUUCUAAGGGGAGUGAGGAAAGGAAGCUUCGGCCUCCGCAUUGAGAUGGGCCCGCGGCCCAUUAGCUUGUUGGUGAGGUAACGGCUCACCAAGGCUUCGAUGGGUAGCUGGUCUGAGAGGACGAUCAGCCACACUGGGACUGAGACACGGCCCAGACUCCUACGGAGGCAGCAGUGGGGAAUC